This 253-nucleotide ribosomal RNA is filed under the name uncultured bacterium. RNAcentral's name for it is "partial 16S ribosomal RNA". It matches the Rfam family "Bacterial small subunit ribosomal RNA", at positions 524 to 776 of the family's 1533-position model. The record is from RNAcentral.
UACAGAGGGUGCAAGCGUUAAUCGGAAUUACUGGGCGUAAAGCGUGCGUAGACGGUAGCGUAAGUCGGGUGUGAAAGCCCCGGGCUCAACCUGGGAAUUGCAUUCGAGACUGCUCUGCUAGGGUGCGGAAGAGGGAAGCGGAAUUUCCGGCGUAGCGGUGAAAUGCGUAGAUAUCGGAAGGAACACCAGUGGCGAAAGCGGCUUCCUGGUCCAGCACCGACGUUCAGGCACGAAAGCGUGGGGAGCAAACAGG